This 288-nucleotide ribosomal RNA is filed under the name Triticum aestivum (bread wheat). RNAcentral describes it as "partial small subunit ribosomal RNA". The record is from RNAcentral. Lineage: Eukaryota; Viridiplantae; Streptophyta; Magnoliopsida; Poales; Poaceae.
AUGGUUUGGCUGCAGUUUAGGGCACGGACAGGUACUGAUUUCAUAAUACCGGAGGACAGCUUCAGUACUACAGAAGAGUGGUGGCUGAAGGCGAGAAAGGGAAUUCCGAAGCCAAUGAGGAAGAACUUUGACACUAUUGUCAUUCUAUUACACUGGAGGAUCUGGAAGGAAAGGAACUCGAGGAUCUUUGAUAAUGUAAACAGCUCUGCGGAUAGGGUCCGGGAUCUGGUCCUAGAAGAUAUCGGCAUGUGGAGGGCAGCGGGCUGCAUCAGCGACCUAAAUGCCUGA